Molecule: non-coding RNA, 25 nt
Filed under: Rattus norvegicus (Norway rat)
Lineage: Eukaryota; Metazoa; Chordata; Mammalia; Rodentia; Muridae
Source: RNAcentral
UGACUUCAUAAACCAGAGGGGAAGG